GAUGAACGCUGGCGGCGUGCCUAAUACAUGCAAGUCGAGCGAACAGACGAGGAGCUUGCUCCUCUGACGUUAGCGGCGAACGGGUGAGUAACACGUGGAUAACCUACCUAUAAGACUGGGAUAACUUCGGGAAACCGGAGCUAAUACCGGAUAAUAUAUUGAACCGCAUGGUUCAAUAGUGAAAGACGGUUUUGCUGUCACUUAUAGAUGGAUCCGCGCCGCAUUAGCUAGUUGGUAAGGUAACGGCUUUCCAAGGCAACGAUGCGUAGCCGACCUGAGAGGGUGAUCGGCCACACUGGAACUGAGACACGGUCCAGACUCCUACGGGAGGCAGCAGUAGGGAAUCUUCCGCAAUGGGCGAAAGCCUGACGGAGCAACGCCGCGUGAGUGAUGAAGGUCUUCGGAUCGUAAAACUCUGUUAUUAGGGAAGAACAAAUGUGUAAGUAACUAUGCACGUCUUGACGGUACCUAAUCAGAAAGCCACGGCUAACUACGUG
RNAcentral lists this ribosomal RNA (497 nucleotides) under uncultured bacterium. RNAcentral's name for it is "partial 16S ribosomal RNA". It matches the Rfam family "Bacterial small subunit ribosomal RNA", at positions 28 to 507 of the family's 1533-position model. The record is from RNAcentral.